RNAcentral lists this ribosomal RNA (358 nucleotides) under uncultured bacterium. Its description in RNAcentral is "bacterial SSU rRNA". It matches the Rfam family "Bacterial small subunit ribosomal RNA", at positions 28 to 387 of the family's 1533-position model. The record is from RNAcentral.
GAUGAACGCUAGCGGGAGGCUUAAUACAUGCAAGUCGAGGGGUAGUCAUACUUCGGUGUGAUUAGACCGGCGCACGGGUGCGUAACGCGUAUGCAACCUGCCUCAAACCGGGGGAUAGCCCGGAGAAAUCCGGAUUAAUACCGCAUAAUAUUAUUGUCUCGCAUGGGAUGAUACUUAAAGAUUUAUUGGUUUGAGAUGGGCAUGCGUCUGAUUAGCUAGUUGGUAGGGUAAUGGCCUACCAAGGCAACGAUCAGUAGCGGGUCUGAGAGGAUGAUCCGCCACACUGGUACUGAGACACGGACCAGACUCCUACGGGAGGCAGCAGUAGGGAAUAUUGGACAAUGGGCGAGAGCCUGAU